This 432-nucleotide ribosomal RNA is filed under the name uncultured bacterium. RNAcentral describes it as "partial 16S ribosomal RNA". It matches the Rfam family "Bacterial small subunit ribosomal RNA", at positions 29 to 506 of the family's 1533-position model. The record is from RNAcentral.
AACGAACGCUGGCGGCAUGCCUAACACAUGCAAGUCGAACGAGACCUUCGGGUCUAGUGGCGCACGGGUGCGUAACGCGUGGGAACCUGCCCUUAGGUUCGGAAUAACUCCCCGAAAGGGGUGCUAAUACCGGAUAAUGUCUUCGGACCAAAGAUUUAUCGCCUUUGGAUGGGCCCGCGUUGGAUUAGCUAGUUGGUAGGGUAAAAGCCUACCAAGGCGACGAUCCAUAGCUGGUCUGAGAGGAUGAUCAGCCACACUGGGACUGAGACACGGCCCAGACUCCUACGGGAGGCAGCAGUGGGGAAUAUUGGAAAAUGGGCGAAAGCCUGAUCCAGCAAUGCCGGGUGAGUGAUGAAGGCCUUAGGGUUGUAAAGCUCUUUUACCCGGGAUGAUAAUGACAGUACCGGGAGAAUAAGCCCCGGCUAACUCCGU